This 604-nucleotide long non-coding RNA is filed under the name Homo sapiens (human). Its description in RNAcentral is "non-protein coding lnc-ANGEL1-6:1". The record is from RNAcentral. Lineage: Eukaryota; Metazoa; Chordata; Mammalia; Primates; Hominidae.
UGGCUCCCCCGGACAGCCCCCAGGAUAGCUAAUGAGGCCAGGGGAAAGGGCCCCAACAAACCAGGUGAGGCAAAGAAGGACCCUCCCAACUCGGGCAAGGUGAAAAAAGCAGCCAAGAGGCCAGCAGAGCUGCCGACGUCUCCCAAAUUAGAUGCAGCCAAGGAGAAGCCCCCACCCCCCCCAGCAGGGCAGUGAGGCUGAGGACACAAAGGCAAAGCCAUGUAGGCCUCUUCCUGUGCCAGUGGGCUCAGCAAGAAGCCAAAGGCCAAAGGCAGCAGGAGCAGCUAAGGAGACGCUGAGGCUCACAGGAAUAUCAAAGCUGGGAGUAAGAGUUCAAAACCCACGGCUAGCAAGGUCAAGAACGGUGCUGCUUCCCCCACCAAAAAGAAGGUGGUGGCCAAGGCCAAGGCCCCUAAAAGGGCAGCUGCCCAGGGUGCUGGGCAGGAGCCAAACACCAAGGCAGCUUCUCCUGCUAGGGGCAGUGGGUCCAAGGUGGUGCCUGCACACCUGACCGGGAAGACAGAGGCCUCCAAGGGCCUGAGAAAGCCUGGGUUGUCCAUCAAGGCCUCAUCAUCCAAAGUGUUCAAUCAGAGGGCUGAGGCCU